This 271-nucleotide ribosomal RNA is filed under the name uncultured bacterium. RNAcentral's name for it is "partial 16S ribosomal RNA". It matches the Rfam family "Bacterial small subunit ribosomal RNA", at positions 524 to 792 of the family's 1533-position model. The record is from RNAcentral.
UACGAAGGGGGCUAGCGUUGUUCGGAUUUACUGGGCGUAAAGCGCACGUAGGCGGAUCGAUCAGUCAGGGGUGAAAUCCCAGAGCUCAACUCUGGAACUGCCUUUGAUACUGUCGAUCUGGAGUAUGGAAGAGGUGAGUGGAAUUCCGAGUGUAGAGGUGAAAUUCGUAGAUAUUCGGAGGAACACCAGUGGCGAAGGCGGCUCACUGGUCCAUUACUGACGCUGAGGUGCGAAAGCGUGGGGAGCAAACAGGAUUAAUGACUACCGUGUC